Molecule: transfer RNA, 69 nt
Filed under: Marmota monax (woodchuck)
Lineage: Eukaryota; Metazoa; Chordata; Mammalia; Rodentia; Sciuridae
Description: tRNA.Gly
Rfam family: tRNA
About the family: Transfer RNA (tRNA) molecules are approximately 80 nucleotides in length. Their secondary structure includes four short double-helical elements and three loops (D, anti-codon, and T loops).
Source: RNAcentral
GGGUGUAGCUCAGUGGUAAAGUGCUUGCCUACCAUGCAUGAGGCCCUGGAUUUGAUCCCUAGCACUGCA